AGCGCUAAAACAAUGCAGCCUGAGUCCCUUCACUUCCCUGUGUGUGUGUGUGUAGCUGAGGGACACUGAAGCCACACUAACCCUAACAGCCUCCCAGGAAGAGGCUCAGCCCAGGGCAGGCAGCCUCCCAUUCUUCAGAGCCCUCCAUCUCCAUCCUCUGUUGGUCCUUCUUUCCUGUCUUUCUCCUCAUCUUCCACCCAGGUUUGCGUCUCUCUUUGUCACUCCUGCGCUUCCCCCCCUCCCCCGCCCCUUACUCUCAUUUCUGGGAGAUUUCUUUUGCCCCAUACCUCACUUCCACAUCACAUUUCCCACUUCUAAAAAAGAAAAAAAAAAAAAAACGUCUUUGGCCAAAGAUCCAUAUGUUUUGAUUGGGAUCUGCUCCCCUCAACCCUUGCCCCUCUCGGCCAGCCCCCGCCCCUCCCUCUCUGCACCCUGCCCCUCCCCCUCUGUACCCCACCCCUCCCUCAGGCCUCGGCUUUCUCUUGACAGAUGGGAGGGCAGUGGGCACUCCCUCUUUAAAACAACAUUUAAUCGCCGUUUUCUGUUCUUGGACAUCAAAGCUGGGGCUUAGGCACUGCACUGGGGUCCCGGCGGCGCGGGCUCUUGGGGAGAGGAGGGAGCAGAGCUGAAGCCCAGAGUUAACAGAAGCCUGCUCAAGACCCACAAGAGUGUGGCUGAUCAAACAAAGAAGAACAAAUCUAAGGACUUCUCCCUCCCACCAGCACCUCCUCUCCCUCCAUCCACAACCAUCCAAUGCCUUCCACCUGGCUGCCAGCAGAGUCCUCUGGCCCCAGCAUCAACCCAUCCUCCCUUCCAUCUUCCAUCCUGUACAUCCUGCAAUGAAUGUAUCCCCCCUCACUCUACAAAAAACAUGUUUUUGAAAACUCC
Long non-coding RNA from Mastomys coucha (southern multimammate mouse), 888 nucleotides. RefSeq lists it as uncharacterized. The transcript is spliced from 2 exons. The record is from RefSeq and is a predicted model, not a curated record. NCBI's taxonomy places the organism in Eukaryota, Metazoa, Chordata, Mammalia, Rodentia, Muridae.